RNAcentral lists this transfer RNA (78 nucleotides) under Nocardia seriolae. Its description in RNAcentral is "tRNA-Asp". It matches the Rfam family "tRNA". From Rfam's summary of the family: Transfer RNA (tRNA) molecules are approximately 80 nucleotides in length. Their secondary structure includes four short double-helical elements and three loops (D, anti-codon, and T loops). Further hydrogen bonds mediate the characteristic L-shaped molecular structure. tRNAs have two regions of fundamental functional importance: the anti-codon, which is responsible for specific mRNA codon recognition, and the 3' end, to which the tRNAs corresponding amino acid is attached (by aminoacyl-tRNA synthetases). tRNAs cope with the degeneracy of the genetic code in two manners: having more than one tRNA (with a specific anti-codon) for a particular amino acid; and 'wobble' base-pairing, i.e. permitting non-standard base-pairing at the 3rd anti-codon position. Lineage: Bacteria; Bacillati; Actinomycetota; Actinomycetes; Mycobacteriales; Nocardiaceae. The record is from RNAcentral.
GCCGGUGUGGAGGAGUUCGGAGUCCUCGCUUCUCUGUCGAGGAAGAAAUCGCGGGUUCGAAUCCCGUCACUGGCGCAA